RNAcentral lists this microRNA precursor (139 nucleotides) under Pteropus vampyrus (large flying fox). Its description in RNAcentral is "miRNA (ENSPVAG00000026124.1)". The record is from RNAcentral. Lineage: Eukaryota; Metazoa; Chordata; Mammalia; Chiroptera; Pteropodidae.
AAAGCCCAGUUAUAUUUGAGUUUCACAUAAACAACCAAUAAUUAUUAGUGUAAGAAUGGCCCUUGAAAUGUUUGGGACAUACUUAUACUGAAAAAUAUUGCUCAUUUAUCUGUAAUUCGCAUUAAUUGGGUAUCCUGUA